UACGAAGGGGGCUAGCGUUGUUCGGAAUCACUGGGCGUAAAGGGCGCGUAGGCGGCCGGUCAAGUCGGGGGUGAAAGCCUGUGGCUCAACCACAGAAUGGCCUUCGAUACUGGACGGCUCGAGACCGGAAGAGGUGAGUGGAACUGCGAGUGUAGAGGUGAAAUUCGUAGAUAUUCGCAAGAACACCAGUGGCGAAGGCGGCUCACUGGUCCGGUUCUGACGCUGAGGCGCGAAAGCGUGGGGAGCAAACAGG
Molecule: ribosomal RNA, 253 nt
Filed under: uncultured bacterium
Lineage: Bacteria
Description: partial 16S ribosomal RNA
Rfam family: Bacterial small subunit ribosomal RNA
Source: RNAcentral